UAAGAGAGAGAAGAUGAUGUGU
RNAcentral lists this small nuclear RNA (22 nucleotides) under Arabidopsis thaliana (thale cress). Its description in RNAcentral is "snRNA_01438". The record is from RNAcentral. Lineage: Eukaryota; Viridiplantae; Streptophyta; Magnoliopsida; Brassicales; Brassicaceae.